Molecule: ribosomal RNA, 355 nt
Filed under: uncultured fungus
Lineage: Eukaryota; Fungi
Description: LSU rRNA
Rfam family: Eukaryotic large subunit ribosomal RNA
Source: RNAcentral
AUAUUGGUGAGAGACCGAUAGCGAACAAGUACCGUGAGGGAAAGAUGAAAAGCACUUUGGAAAGAGAGUUAAACAGUACGUGAAAUUGUUGAAAGGGAAACGAUUGAAGUCAGUCAUGUCUGUUGGUUUCAGCUUGCUCUGCAAGUGUAUUACCUUCAGACGGGUCAACAUCAGUUUUGGUGCGGUGGAUAAGAACGGAUUGAAGGUGGCACCCUCGGGUGUGUUAUAGCUUUCUGUUGCAUACACUGCCUGAGACUGAGGACUGCAGCUCGCCCUCACGGGCCGGCCUUCGGGCACGUUCGAGCUUAGGAUGUUGGCAUAAUGGCUUUAAACGACCCGUCUUGAAACACGGACC